Molecule: ribosomal RNA, 516 nt
Filed under: uncultured bacterium
Lineage: Bacteria
Description: partial 16S ribosomal RNA
Rfam family: Bacterial small subunit ribosomal RNA
Source: RNAcentral
GAUGAACGCUGGCGGCGUGCCUAAUACAUGCAAGUCGAACGCAUUGAGAGAAGUGCUUGCACUUUUCAAUUUGAGUGGCGAACGGGUGAGUAACACGUGGGCAACCUACCUGAUAGCGGGGGAUAACGAGUGGAAACAUUCGCUAAUACCGCAUAACAAUAGAGAAGGCAUCUUCUUUAUUUAAAAGGCGCUUUCAAGCGUCACUAUCAGAUGGGCCCGCGGUGCAUUAGUUAGUUGGUGGGGUGAAGGCCUACCAAGACGAUGAUGCAUAGCCGAGUUGAGAGACUGAUCGGCCAAAUUGGGACUGAGACACGGCCCAAACUCCUACGGUGGGCUGCAGUAGGGAAUCUUCAACAAUGGACGAAAGUCUGAUGGAGCAACGCCGCGUGUGUGAUGAAGGCUUUCGGGUCGUAAAGCACUGUUGUAUGGGAAGAAAUGCUAGGCUAGGAAAUGAGCUUAGUUUGACGGUACCAUACCAGAAAGGGACGGCUAAAUACGUGCCAGCCGCCGCCGUAA